CCUUGGGCUAGUCACACUUCUUUGAAGUCUCUCAGCCCCACUCACCUCACAGAGUGUUUGUUGUGGGGGAGGAAGGGAAAGGAGAAUGUUAGCCGCUUUGAGACUCCUUAAAGGGAGUGAAAGGCGGGAUAUAAAAUCCAAACCCUUCUUCUUCUUCUCUAGUUAAGUUUGCCAAAGGCUAGUCAGUGUUUUGGGGUCUUUAGAAUUCGGUGUGAGAGAAAAAAUAUCGCUGGGGUGAUUUGGAGCUAAGAAAUGGCAGCCAGAGGAGAUACUGGGUUUUGCCUCUGAUGUGUAGCAUCAUCACCUAACCAUAGUUUCCAAGUCUACUGGUGAAUUGCAUAUCCCCAUCAUAACUCCUCACUUUUUCCAGAACCUACUCCCUUCCAGGACUAGAGUUCAUACAUUAAAUUCAGUGAGAAGCUCCUCCCUAAUGCAAGAAAGCUUCCCUCACCCCCCUUCCUUUACGUCUUCUGACAUCCUGACAGUGCGAUUCAAUACAUGUUCAUUUACAAAUACCGG
Molecule: non-coding RNA, 519 nt
Organism: Podarcis lilfordi (Lilford's wall lizard)
Lineage: Eukaryota; Metazoa; Chordata; Lepidosauria; Squamata; Lacertidae
Source: the annotation of a GenBank genome assembly